GAUGAACGCUGGCGGCGUGCCUAAUACAUGCAAGUCGAGCGAACAGACGAGGAGCUUGCUCCUCUGACGUUAGCGGCGGACGGGUGAGUAACACGUGGAUAACCUACCUAUAAGACUGGGAUAACUUCGGGAAACCGGAGCUAAUACCGGAUAAUAUAUUAAACCGCAUGGUUCAAUAGUGAAAGACGGUUUUGCUGUCACUUAUAGAUGGAUCCGCGCCGCAUUAGAUAGUUGGUAAGGUAACGGCUUACCAAGGCAACGAUGCGUAGCCGACCUGAGAGGGUGAUCGGCCACACUGGAACUGAGACACGGUCCAGACUCCUACGGGAGGCAGCAGUAGGGAAUCUUCCGCAAUGGGCGAAAGCCUGACGGAGCAACGCCGCGUGAGUGAUGAAGGUCUUCGGAUCGUAAAACUCUGUUAUUAGGGAAGAACAAAUGUGUAAGUAACUAUGCACGUCUUGACGGUACCUAAUCAGAAAGCCACGGCUAACUACGUG
Molecule: ribosomal RNA, 497 nt
Filed under: uncultured bacterium
Lineage: Bacteria
Description: partial 16S ribosomal RNA
Rfam family: Bacterial small subunit ribosomal RNA
Source: RNAcentral